Molecule: long non-coding RNA, 1151 nt
Organism: Mytilus californianus (California mussel)
Lineage: Eukaryota; Metazoa; Mollusca; Bivalvia; Mytilida; Mytilidae
Exons: 3
Source: RefSeq, a predicted model, not a curated record
GACUGUAUAGUUGACUUAUUGCAUAAUAGUAUAAGAAAAAAGACCAAAACUCAAAAACUUAACUUUGACCACUGAACCAUGAAAAUGAGGUCAAAGUCAGAUGACACCUGCCAGUUGGACAUGUACACCUUACAAUCAUUCCAUACACCAAAUAUAGUAGACCUAUUGGAUAAAGUAUAAGAAAAACGGACCAAAACACAAAAACUUAACUAUAACCACUGAACCAUGAAAAUGAGGUCAAGGUCAGAUGACACCUGCCAGUUGGACAUGUACACCUUACAAUCAUUCCAUACACCAAAUAUAAUAGACCUAUUGCAUACAGUAUAAGAAAAACAGACCAAAACACAAAAACUUAACUAUAACCACUGAACCAUGAAAAUGAGGUCAAGGUCAGAUGACACCUGCCAGUUGGACAUGUACACCUUACAGUCCUUCCAUACACCAAAUAUACUAGACCUAUUGCUUAUAGUAUCUGAGAUAUGGACUUGACCACCAAAACUUAACCUUGUUCACUGAUCCAUGAAAUGAGGUCGAGGUCAAGGGAAAACUGUCUGACAGGCAUGAGGACCUUGCAAGGUACGCACAUACUAAAUAUAGUUAUCCUAUUACUUAUAAUAAGAGAGAAUUUAACAUUACAAAAAAUCUGAACUUUUUUUUCAAGUAGUCACUGAACCAUGAAAAUGAGGUCAAGGAAAUUGGACAUGUGACUGACGGAAACUUCGUAACAUGAGGCAUCCAUAUACAAAGUAUGAAGCAUCCAGGUCUUCCACCUUCUAAAAUAUUAAGCUUUUAAGAAGUUAGCUAACGCCGCCGCGUAGCCGCCGCCGGAUCACUAUCCCUAUGUCGAGCUUUCUGCGACAAAAGUCGCAGGCUCGACAAAAACUAUUCAUAAGGAAAAGGUUAAAGUAGUCAAAACAUAAUCUUAUUAUUUCAAUGCACUACAUAAUCUGUUUCUCUAAUUCUUAGCCAAUUUAUCCUUUUCCUGACCUAUUGAUUAUUUUUAUUUAUAGAACGUGUGGUUCGUUUGAUCUAAGUUCUUCAUUGGUCAAAAUUGAAUAGUGCCAUCAAAUUUUUUUGCUUUUCUCCGAAUUUUCCUAUUGUGACGUCAUGAAAAGAGACAACCAUGCCUGAUGAGGUUUGUCUGCAUAUUG